RNAcentral lists this non-coding RNA (867 nucleotides) under Pongo abelii (Sumatran orangutan). Lineage: Eukaryota; Metazoa; Chordata; Mammalia; Primates; Hominidae. The record is from RNAcentral.
AACACGUAGUACACCACGCUCUGGCCCGCCGUGAAGUGCUGCUCCGCCGUCUCCAGGAAGCGCUCCAGGUACUUUUCCAGGUCUUCAGACUAAGAGGAACUGGACACCAGGAGCCUCAUACCAGGACUGCCCAGCCGAGCCACUCGAUUCCUGACCCACAUGGCCCUUGAGAUGACAAGUGAUUGCUGCUUAAAGUCACUGAGUUCUGGAGUAAUUUACAUCACGGCAAUAGGUAACUAAUGCAGAUUCUGGUACCUGGAAAAGGAGUGGUGACAUAAAACAGCUCUAUAGAUGUGGGCAUGGCCUCAGAACUGGCCACAGGCAGGAGCCGGAAGGACUCUGUGGAAAGCAUGAGUGUCUAAGGUGCUUUGAGAGACUGUAUAUAGAAGUCUCAUGGCCUUUAGGGAAGCUGCUGGGGAGGCCUAAAGGAAAGUGAGGAAACUCUUAGUGGAGAUUGGAAGAAACAGGGUCUCUGUUAUGAAAUAAAAGAACAUUUUGUAAAAAUGUGGUUGGUAGCAGAAAUGUAAGUUGAAUGUACCCCAUGAAGUGGGUGGUCUAGCUAAGGAGAUUUUCAGGCAGAAUGUGUAAGGUGUUGCUUGGCUUCUUACUGCUGCUCACAGUAAAAUAGGAGAGAGAGAAGGUAAAAACAAACAAAACUGUUCAACAUAAAGGAACCGGGAUCUGCUGGUUUUAAAAAUGCCCAGCCUCUCCAGAUGGCACAUGAUGCUAACAUUAAGAAAUGGUUUCUAGGCAAAGAUCAAAUUCAGGGCACAGUCAAGAAAACAUGGUCUACAGAUUAAACUUAGGAUGUGACUUAAAUCUUUUUGUUAAGACUUAAGAAAGAUCUAAAGUGAUGCCUCAAAGAGC